This 388-nucleotide ribosomal RNA is filed under the name uncultured bacterium. RNAcentral's name for it is "bacterial SSU rRNA". It matches the Rfam family "Bacterial small subunit ribosomal RNA", at positions 29 to 408 of the family's 1533-position model. The record is from RNAcentral.
AAUGAACGCUGGCGGCGCGCCUAAUACAUGCAAGUCGAGCGAGAAGACGUAGCAAUACGUUUGUAAAGCGGCGAACGGGUGAGGAAUACAUGGGUAACCUACCCUCGAGUGGGGAAUAACUAGCCGAAAGGUUAGCUAAUACCGCGUACGCUCCUUGGACUUCGGUUCAGGGAGGAAAGCGAUACCGUGGGUAUCGCGCUCUUGGUUGGGCUCAUGUCCUAUCAGCUUGUUGGUGAGGUAACGGCUCACCAAGGCUUCGACGGGUAGCUGGUCUGAGAGGACGAUCAGCCACACUGGCACUGCGACACGGGCCAGACUCCUACGGAGGCAGCAGUAAGGAAUAUUGCGCAAUGGGCGAAAGCCUGACGCAGCGACGCCGCGUGGGGGA